This 439-nucleotide ribosomal RNA is filed under the name uncultured bacterium. RNAcentral describes it as "bacterial SSU rRNA". It matches the Rfam family "Bacterial small subunit ribosomal RNA", at positions 29 to 515 of the family's 1533-position model. The record is from RNAcentral.
AACGAACGCUGGCGGCAGGCCUAACACAUGCAAGUCGAGCGCGCCUUCGGGUGAGCGGCGGACGGGUUAGUAACGCGUGGGAACGUGCCCUUCUCUACGGAAUAGCCUCUGGAAACGGAGAGUAAUACCGUAUACGCCCUUUGGGGGAAAGAUUUAUCGGAGAAGGAUCGGCCCGCGUUAGAUUAGGUAGUUGGUGGGGUAACGGCCUACCAAGCCUACGAUCUAUAGCUGGUUUUAGAGGAUGAUCAGCAACACUGGGACUGAGACACGGCCCAGACUCCUACGGGAGGCAGCAGUGGGGAAUCUUAGACAAUGGGGGCAACCCUGAUCUAGCCAUGCCGCGUGAGUGAUGAAGGCCUUAGGGUCGUAAAGCUCUUUCGCCUGUGAUGAUAAUGACAGUAGCAGGUAAAGAAACCCCGGCUAACUCCGUCCCAAAGGG